Molecule: ribosomal RNA, 301 nt
Filed under: uncultured bacterium
Lineage: Bacteria
Description: partial 16S ribosomal RNA
Rfam family: Bacterial small subunit ribosomal RNA
Source: RNAcentral
CAGUCGCCGCGGUAAUACGAAGGGGGCUAGCGUUGUUCGGAAUUACUGGGCGUAAAGCGCACGUAGGCGGAUCGAUCAGUCAGGGGUGAAAUCCCAGGGCUCAACCCUGGAACUGCCUUUGAUACUGUCGAUCUGGAGUAUGGAAGAGGUGAGUGGAAUUCCGAGCGUAGAGGUGAAAUUCGUAGAUAUUCGGAGGAACACCAGUGGCGAAGGCGGCUCACUGGUCCAUUACUGACGCUGAGGUGCGAAAGCGUGGGGAGCAAACAGGAUUAGAUACCCCAGUAGUCCCUGUCUCUUAUAC